CCUACGGGUGGCAGCAGUGGGGAAUAUUGCACAAUGGGGGAAACCCUGAUGCAGCGACGCCGCGUGAGUGAAGAAGUAUCUCGGUACGUAAAGCUCUAUCAGCAGGGAAGAAAAUGACGGUACCUGACUAAGAAGCACCGGCUAACUACGUGCCAGCAGCCGCGGUAAUACGUAGGGGGCAAGCGUUAUCCGGAUUUACCGGGUGUAAAGGGAGCGUAGACGGCAGCACAAGUCUGGAGUGAAAUCCCGGGGCUUAACCCCGGAACUGCUUUGGAAACUGGGCGGCUGGAGUGGAGGAGGGGUAAGCGGAAUGCCUAGUGUAGCGGUGAAAUGCGUAGAUAUUAGGAGGAACACCGGUGGCGAAGGCAGCUUGCUGGACUGUAACUGACGUUGAGGCUCGAAAGCGUGGGGAGCAAACAGGAUUAGAUACCCCUGUAGUC
RNAcentral lists this ribosomal RNA (440 nucleotides) under uncultured bacterium. Its description in RNAcentral is "partial 16S ribosomal RNA". It matches the Rfam family "Bacterial small subunit ribosomal RNA", at positions 338 to 795 of the family's 1533-position model. The record is from RNAcentral.